Molecule: ribosomal RNA, 497 nt
Filed under: uncultured bacterium
Lineage: Bacteria
Description: partial 16S ribosomal RNA
Rfam family: Bacterial small subunit ribosomal RNA
Source: RNAcentral
GAUGAACGCUGGCGGCGUGCCUAAUACAUGCAAGUCGAGCGAACAGAUGAGGAGCUUGCUCCUCUGACGUUAGCGGCGGACGGGUGAGUAACACGUGGAUAACCUACCUAUAAGACUGGGAUAACUUCGAGAAACCGGAGCUAAUACCGGAUAAUAUAUUGAACCGCAUGGUUCAAUAGUUAAAGACGGUUUUGCUGUCACUUAUAGAUGGAUCCGCGCCGCAUUAGUUAGUUGGUAAGGUAACGGCUUACCAAGGCAACGAUGCGUAGCCGACCUGAAAGGGUGAUCGGCCACACUGGAACUGAGACACGGUCCAGACUCCUACGGGAGGCAGCAGUAGGGAAUCUUACGCAAUGGGCGAAAGCCUGACGGAGCAACGCCGCGUGAGUGAUGAAGGUCUUCGGAUCGUAAAACUCUGUUAUUAGGGAAGAACAAAUGUGUAAGUAACUAUGCACGUCUUGACGGUACCUAAAGAAAAAGCCACGGCUAACUACGUG